CGGGAUAGCUCAGUUGGAAGAGCAAAGGACUGAAAA
Molecule: transfer RNA, 36 nt
Filed under: Lachnaea marlothii
Lineage: Eukaryota; Viridiplantae; Streptophyta; Magnoliopsida; Malvales; Thymelaeaceae
Description: partial transfer RNA-Phe
Source: RNAcentral